AGGCAAUGAUGUUUAUUUACAAAGUGAGAAAUGUACAUCAGGGGAAGGUCUGGUUCAGCAACUCCUGGAAGAGAGAGUGGAUUAGCAGGCCGAUGGAUCUUUGGAAUAUUGAUUCACUCUUAUUGUUUGUUGAGGAUGAUGACAAGUCGGAUGACAAGUUCAUCAAUUCAUCAAUCUUUUAGCAGUGAUGCAAAUCCACCUGACUUUACAUCUGUCAAAUGUUUGAGAAAGUGGCUGUUUGAUGUAUACAUGGACAAAACCAGAGCAAAUAUUAAUUCUUAGCUCUACCUCAAAGUUUUGUGUUUGGAUGCUAAGGGGUAUAGCAUGCUGUGGUUGCUUGUUCCUUUGUUCUAAAGGGAGGGGAAAGGAGGAAAUUUCUCAGUUUUCCUUCUCAGCAAAGAAAAACGUGAUUAUUUUUAUUUUAUUGAAUUUUUUUUUUUGGACCAACUUGUAAACACAGGGAUAUAAGCCAGCAUUCACACACAUUUAGAAAUGUAUGUAGUUUCUUAGAUGGAACUUUUUCAUCAGCCCAAAAGCAACUGUAAAGACUUGUAUACCGAUGUAAUACAUUUGGAAUGCGUUAUCCUUAACAAGCAUUAAAAACAUUUUUCAUCAGGUGAAACUAGUAUUUUUAACCAUUAGAAUGUUCAGCAAUUAACAAUUACUUCUACCUUUUAUGAUAACAUUAAGCCAUGUUUAUUAUUAUUAUUAUUCAUGAGUGUUUUACUUAUAGAAUCAUCAAUCGAUAGUAUGGGGAUUAUCUGUUAAGGAUUUAUUUCUAUCACUAAAACCACUUAUUUUGUUAAAGUCUUUCU
Xiphophorus couchianus (Monterrey platyfish) is the source of this 815-nucleotide long non-coding RNA. RefSeq lists it as uncharacterized. The record is from RefSeq and is a predicted model, not a curated record. Lineage: Eukaryota; Metazoa; Chordata; Actinopteri; Cyprinodontiformes; Poeciliidae. The transcript is spliced from 3 exons.